RNAcentral lists this ribosomal RNA (1429 nucleotides) under Klebsiella pneumoniae. RNAcentral describes it as "bacterial SSU rRNA". It matches the Rfam family "Bacterial small subunit ribosomal RNA". Lineage: Bacteria; Pseudomonadati; Pseudomonadota; Gammaproteobacteria; Enterobacterales; Enterobacteriaceae. The record is from RNAcentral.
CCUGGCUCAGAUUGAACGCUGGCGGCAGGCCUAACACAUGCAAGUCGAGCGGUAGCACAGAGAGCUUGCUCUCGGGUGACGAGCGGCGGACGGGUGAGUAAUGUCUGGGAAACUGCCUGAUGGAGGGGGAUAACUACUGGAAACGGUAGCUAAUACCGCAUAACGUCGCAAGACCAAAGUGGGGGACCUUCGGGCCUCAUGCCAUCAGAUGUGCCCAGAUGGGAUUAGCUAGUAGGUGGGGUAACGGCUCACCUAGGCGACGAUCCCUAGCUGGUCUGAGAGGAUGACCAGCCACACUGGAACUGAGACACGGUCCAGACUCCUACGGGAGGCAGCAGUGGGGAAUAUUGCACAAUGGGCGCAAGCCUGAUGCAGCCAUGCCGCGUGUGUGAAGAAGGCCUUCGGGUUGUAAAGCACUUUCAGCGGGGAGGAAGGCGGUGAGGUUAAUAACCUCAUCGAUUGACGUUACCCGCAGAAGAAGCACCGGCUAACUCCGUGCCAGCAGCCGCGGUAAUACGGAGGGUGCAAGCGUUAAUCGGAAUUACUGGGCGUAAAGCGCACGCAGGCGGUCUGUCAAGUCGGAUGUGAAAUCCCCGGGCUCAACCUGGGAACUGCAUUCGAAACUGGCAGGCUAGAGUCUUGUAGAGGGGGGUAGAAUUCCAGGUGUAGCGGUGAAAUGCGUAGAGAUCUGGAGGAAUACCGGUGGCGAAGGCGGCCCCCUGGACAAAGACUGACGCUCAGGUGCGAAAGCGUGGGGAGCAAACAGGAUUAGAUACCCUGGUAGUCCACGCCGUAAACGAUGUCGAUUUGGAGGUUGUGCCCUUGAGGCGUGGCUUCCGGAGCUAACGCGUUAAAUCGACCGCCUGGGGAGUACGGCCGCAAGGUUAAAACUCAAAUGAAUUGACGGGGGCCCGCACAAGCGGUGGAGCAUGUGGUUUAAUUCGAUGCAACGCGAAGAACCUUACCUGGUCUUGACAUCCACAGAACUUUCCAGAGAUGGAUUGGUGCCUUCGGGAACUGUGAGACAGGUGCUGCAUGGCUGUCGUCAGCUCGUGUUGUGAAAUGUUGGGUUAAGUCCCGCAACGAGCGCAACCCUUAUCCUUUGUUGCCAGCGGUUAGGCCGGGAACUCAAAGGAGACUGCCAGUGAUAAACUGGAGGAAGGUGGGGAUGACGUCAAGUCAUCAUGGCCCUUACGACCAGGGCUACACACGUGCUACAAUGGCAUAUACAAAGAGAAGCGACCUCGCGAGAGCAAGCGGACCUCAUAAAGUAUGUCGUAGUCCGGAUUGGAGUCUGCAACUCGACUCCAUGAAGUCGGAAUCGCUAGUAAUCGUAGAUCAGAAUGCUACGGUGAAUACGUUCCCGGGCCUUGUACACACCGCCCGUCACACCAUGGGAGUGGGUUGCAAAAGAAGUAGGUAGCUUAAC